Molecule: long non-coding RNA, 133 nt
Organism: Mus musculus (house mouse)
Lineage: Eukaryota; Metazoa; Chordata; Mammalia; Rodentia; Muridae
Product: predicted gene, 52011
Exons: 3
Source: RefSeq, a predicted model, not a curated record
CAGUAGCUCAGGGCAUGCACUGUGAGGUUGGACCUGUUGAUACUGCACUGGGCAUCCAUUUAGCUUCAGGUUGUCCUGUGUUUGUAUAUAGUGGCAUAGCAUUCUGCUGACAUUCUUAGUUGUGGAAAGAGAU